Molecule: ribosomal RNA, 440 nt
Filed under: uncultured bacterium
Lineage: Bacteria
Description: bacterial SSU rRNA
Rfam family: Bacterial small subunit ribosomal RNA
Source: RNAcentral
CCUACGGGUGGCAGCAGUAGGGAAUAUUGGGCAAUGGGCGAGAGCCUGACCCAGCCAUGCCGCGUGCAGGAAGAAGGCCUUCUGGGUUGUAAACUGCUUUUGAUCGGGAACAAAGAGCCCUUGCGAGGGAAGUUGAGUGUACCGAUAGAAUAAGCACCGGCUAACUCCGUGCCAGCAGCCGCGGUAAUACGGAGGGUGCAAGCGUUGUCCGGAUUUAUUGGGUUUAAAGGGUGCGUAGGCGGCCGAUUAAGUCAGUGGUGAAAUACUGCAGCUCAACUGUAGCAUUGCCAUUGAUACUGGUUGGCUUGAGUGCAGACGAGGUAGGCGGAAUUUAUGGUGUAGCGGUGAAAUGCAUAGAUACCAUAAAGAACACCGAUUGCGAAGGCAGCUUACUAGGCUGUAACUGACGCUGAGGCACGAAAGCGUGGGGAUCGAACAGG